RNAcentral lists this ribosomal RNA (505 nucleotides) under uncultured bacterium. RNAcentral describes it as "partial 16S ribosomal RNA". It matches the Rfam family "Bacterial small subunit ribosomal RNA", at positions 29 to 523 of the family's 1533-position model. The record is from RNAcentral.
AUUGAACGCCGGCGGCAGGCCUAACACAUGCAAGUCGAACGGCAGCGGGGGAUAGCUUGCUAUCCUGCCGGCGAGUGGCGGACGGGUGAGUAAUGCAUGGGGAGCUGCCCAGUCGAGGGGGAUAACAACUGGAAACGGCUGCUAAUACCGCAUACGCCCUAAGGGGGAAAGGCGGGGAACUUCGGUCCUACCGCGAUGGGAUGCGCCCAUGUGGGAUUAGCUAGUUGGUGAGGUAACGGCUCACCAAGGCGACGAUCUCUAGCUGGUCUGAGAGGAUGACCAGCACACUGGAACUGAGACACGGUCCAGACUCCUACGGGAGGCAGCAGUGGGGAAUAUUGCACAAUGGGGGAAACCCUGAUGCAGCCAUGCCGCGUGUGUGAAGAAGGCCUUCGGGUUGUAAAGCACUUUCAGUCAGGAGGAAGGUGGUAAGGCUAAUAUCCUUAUCAAUUGACGUUACUGACAGAAGAAGCACCGGCUAACUCCGUGCCAGCAGCCGCCGUAA